AGUCAUCCAAAUUUUAUACACAACUGUAACGUAGUUUCCUUUUGUUCCUUUUGUGAAUAGAUAGUGGUCAGCUUCUGACUUGGUGACGCCGAUAGGAUGGGAGCUUUGAGGUGGGCUCCUUAUUCAACUGGCGACCUGCUUAUUUUAGGCCAUACAAGUUUUUGGUUAGAUGGCAGACUUGUCUUGUACUAGCCUUGAAGUAGCCCUCUGGAGGUUUUAAAUAUAGUUUCUUUUCCACAAACCCAUGUAGAUAUGCAUUAUUGAUGUCUAACUGGUAUACUGGCUAGUCGCUUGCGGCUGCCAUGGCUAAAAGUAGUCGAACCGUGACCAUUUUGGCCACUAGUGAGAAGCUAUCAUGAUAGUUUAUGUCAAACUCCUUGUUGUAACUUUUAGCUACGAGUCUUGCUUUGUAUUUAUCAACUGAUCCAUCGGCAUUGUAUUUUAUUUUGUACACCCAUUUUGAGUCGAUUACUUUCUUCCUUUUUGGUAGUGCAGUUAGUUCCCAUGUUCUAUUUUCUUUUAAUGCGAACAGUUCGACUUACAUGGUCUCAACCCACUUGUUGUCCCCUUUAGCAUCCCUGUAUGAAAUUGGUUCUUUAGUAAUAGACACUUGUGCAAUAAAAUUAACAUAGCUAUGGUUGUAUGUAGGUGAGGUAGACAUGAAGAAGGGAAGCUCAUACAUGGGUUGUUCAGUGGUAUAGGCGACAAAGUCUUCCAUCCAGGCGGGCUUAUUUCUCACCCUGAUGCUCCUUCUUACUUCAGACUCUUGGGGAAUGAUGGUUGGUUGGUGUAAAAUGCAAUAAGCAUCCCCUCAAAUGAAUUACUAAUAUGUAUUUCCCUCUGUUUUUCAACACUAAAUACCAUGGAAUAAGCUCUAUUCACUCUAGCAUGGCAGGUGCAAGCAGGGAAGGGCCUUAGGUGUGUUAACUCAUCCCACAGCCUUUUGAGUUUUGUAUAAUAGGCUGUGACAUAAAGGAAGGCGCUAACAAGCUCUUUGUUCAUCGAGUUCAGAAUCUAAGACACCACCAUGUUGUCUGUUUUGUGCCAUUGUUCAUAUUCUGCUGCAUCGGGUUCGGGUUUUUUGCAUCUAUCGUCGACGAGGGCGAGCUUAUCCUUAGCUCUCAAUGCGAUCACCAUGGCUCGGCUCCAUGACAAGUAGUUGGAUCCAUCAAGUGUGGUUGUGAUGAGUUGCAUUCCAGGCUGGUUUGAGCUUAGGAGUGUCAACACAUCUGUAUUAGGGUUUGCCAUUAAACAGUAGGGUAAUAUUGUAAUGUAGAAAUCAGGAGAAUCAGUGCUUAUUACAAGCACUGCUCUGAUACCAUGUAAAGAAACUUAACCGAGUAGAGUAGAGAACAUUUAAUGCUCA
Carica papaya (papaya) is the source of this 1366-nucleotide non-coding RNA. Lineage: Eukaryota; Viridiplantae; Streptophyta; Magnoliopsida; Brassicales; Caricaceae. The record is from RefSeq and is a predicted model, not a curated record.